AGUCGAACGCGAAAGUUUCCUUCGGGGAAUAAGUAGAGUGGCGCACGGGUGAGUAACACGUAGGUAAUCUACCUUCGGGUGGGGAAUAACCCAGGGAAACUUGGGCUAACACCGCAUGAUGCAGCGGCACCACAUGGUGACAGUUGUUAAAGCGGGGGAUUUUCGGACCUCGCGCCUGAAGAGGAGCCUGCGGCGGAUUAACUAGUUGGUGAGGUAACGGCUCACCAAGGUCACGAUCCGUAGCCGGCCUGAGAGGGCGGUCGGCCACACUGACACUGACAUACGGGUCAGACUCCUACGGGAGGCAGCAGUCGGGAAUUUUGGGCAAUGGGCGAAAGCCUGACCCAGCAACGCCGCGUGAAGGAUGAAAUCCCUCGGGAUGUAAACUUCGCAAGAAUGGGAAGAAUGAACGAGCGCUAAUACCGUUCGUGAUGACGGUACCAUUUGUAAGCUCCGGCUAACUCCGUGCCAGCAGCCGCGGUAAUACGGGGGGAGCAAGCGUUGUUCGGAUUUACUGGGCGUAAAGGGCGCGUAGGCGGCCAGCGCAAGUCAGUUGUGAAAUCUCCGGGCUUAACUCGGAAAGGUCAACUGAUACUGCGCGGCUAGAGUGCGGAAGGGGCAACUGGAAUUCUCGGUGUAGCGGUGAAAUGCGUAGAUAUCGAGAGGAACACCUGCGGCGAAGGCGGGUUGCUGGGCCGACACUGACGCUGAUGCGCGAAAGCCAGGGGAGCGAACGGGAUUAGAUACCCCGGUAGUCCUGGCCUUAAACGAUGGAUGCUUGGUGUCUGGGGUUUUAUAGUCCCCGGGUGCC
RNAcentral lists this ribosomal RNA (811 nucleotides) under uncultured Bacillota bacterium. Its description in RNAcentral is "bacterial SSU rRNA". It matches the Rfam family "Bacterial small subunit ribosomal RNA", at positions 60 to 847 of the family's 1533-position model. The record is from RNAcentral. Lineage: Bacteria; Bacillati; Bacillota.